This 416-nucleotide ribosomal RNA is filed under the name uncultured bacterium. Its description in RNAcentral is "bacterial SSU rRNA". It matches the Rfam family "Bacterial small subunit ribosomal RNA", at positions 362 to 776 of the family's 1533-position model. The record is from RNAcentral.
UAUUGGGCAAUGGUCGGAAGACUGACCCAGCCAUGCCGCGUGCAGGAAGAAGGCCUAUUGGGUUGUAAACUGCUUUUAUCUGGGAAGAAAAGGCCCGUGCGCGGGACAUUGCCGGUACCAGAUGAAUAAGCACCGGCUAACUCCGUGCCAGCAGCCGCGGUAAUACGGAGGGUGCAAGCGUUGUCCGGAUUUAUUGGGUUUAAAGGGUGCGUAGGCGGCUAUUUAAGUCAGCGGUGAAAGACUCCGGCUCAACCGGAGCAGUGCCAUUGAUACUGGGUAGCUUGAGUGUUGGAGGGGUACAUGGAAUUGAUGGUGUAGCGGUGAAAUGCAUAGAUACCAUCAGGAACACCGAUAGCGAAGGCAUUGUACUGGCCAACAACUGACGCUGAGGCACGAAAGCAUGGGGAGCGAACAGG